CCGGUAAAAAACCUUAAUUCAUAUAUUUGUAAGAUCAAAAGCUCCUUUCCCGUCAAAGCUCUGCCCUCAAAGACAAAGCCCCUCACAGUUCUAGGGUUUUUGCAGCAGAAGAAAUGGGAAAAGGAACUGGAAGCUUUGGAAAAAGAAGAAAUAAGACUCACACUCUCUGCGUCCGAUGCGGACGUCGGAGCUUCCAUCUCCAGAAGAGCCGUUGCGGUGCUUGUGCUUACCCUGCCAGCCGCAUCCGAAAAUGUACACAAGCAACUCCGAGGAAGGCGGCAGCCGUUGCUGCUUCGUAAGUUAAUCGUUGUGUUUUCCUUUCGAGAUUCCUAUGAACACAAGUUUUGUUUUCUUAUCAACUGUGUUACAUUUUUGUUUCAAGUAAUAUUUACAAAAGGAAAGUCUCGUAUCAUUUUGUGAGUUAGUGAUAUUGUCAUCCAUAGUUGAUUUUAAGCUACUCAAAUUGCUAAAUGUUUCGUUUGCUAUUUAUUGCUGUUGAGGUGUCA
This is a long non-coding RNA of Hibiscus syriacus, 506 nucleotides long. RefSeq lists it as uncharacterized. The transcript is spliced from 3 exons. Lineage: Eukaryota; Viridiplantae; Streptophyta; Magnoliopsida; Malvales; Malvaceae. The record is from RefSeq and is a predicted model, not a curated record.